This is a long non-coding RNA of Passer montanus (Eurasian tree sparrow), 1512 nucleotides long. RefSeq lists it as uncharacterized. The transcript has 4 exons. The record is from RefSeq and is a predicted model, not a curated record. NCBI's taxonomy places the organism in Eukaryota, Metazoa, Chordata, Aves, Passeriformes, Passeridae.
CAGGACAGCACUAAACCUCCAGCGUGAACUUGAAGUCAGUGAGAGCAGAUACUUAAAAUUGUCACUGACAAAAGAAGGAUCUAAUGGAAACAAAGUACGUGAACAAACACGUUAAAGAAACCUAUGCAGUGGUGAAGAACACAAACUACACACAAAAUCAGUCCUCACUGUAGCAGACUCUGUAGCUCCAGGACAAUGCACUCUGAUGCACCUAAACCCUAAAAAAAAAGAUGAGCCUCCCUCACAUAUGCACUAAAAUAACCCAUCUAAUUUCCUGUGGUUGGCCACGAGAUGGCAGUUUCCCACUGCACAUUCCCAAGAUGAACGGCUUGGCCGGCCUUUCUUGAGGAGUGAGCCACUGCGGCUUCUUCCCGGCAUGGGAAUGACACAAGAUAUGGAUAGUCACUAUGAGAGGAUCCAUCUUCCAAGAUCUUUGCACACUUUAUCCGACUGUGGGAAUAAACCAUGAAGAAAUGCUGGUAGCACUGGCCAUGCUAUAACAGUAAUAAUAAAGGUACAUACUAACAAAGCCACACAAAAUUAAAAUAGUCUCUUUUUCAAGCUAGGCAAUUCUUGAAGGAUUUUUAAAAUUCAGUUCAAAGCUCUUUCCAAUGACUGACAUGUACUCUAUUUCUAGAGUAAAUUUCUGAAGAAUGCUCUAGUGUUUUCAUUUCUUUGGUGAAUUAUUUCACUCUCCUAAUUCCCUAACCCAUGAAAUUAAAGUCUCUGUUUAAUUUAACCUCCCCUGUAGAUUUUAUAAUCAGUCUAUCUAAAGUAAGACUUAAAAUUUUAUCUCCCUUAUUUGAGAAGUCUGUCAUAGCUGUUAAAAGUGUGAAACUGGGCAACAUCCCUUUUCUUAAAAUCUGACUUUCCUACCCUGCUGUAAUCUCCUGUAGCACCCACUUCAGGUGCUGAUCUUGCACUUACUUCCAAGCAUGUACAGAGGCGUUCAAUUCUGAUUCCCACUAGCAAAGCUUUUACAGCUAUGGUUUUGGUUUGGAGGCUGACCUUGCUCUUUAGUGCGGUUUUCAUUGUGUAUUACCCACAUCUAUUUCUAAUUUUUUUUUAAGAGUAGUGUCUUUACCAUGAAGCGCUACUUUGCAGAAUUUAGGAGAAUUACUAAGGCCAAAAUAUGGUAUUUUGUAUAUAUGCAUCUGUUUCAAUGCCUUUAAUAUUUUCUUCUGCAAAAUGUCCUUAGUUCUCUCUGUAGACCAAUAUGAAACAACACUUGAAUCUUCAAUAGCAAGACUUAGCUACCUGGUAAAGGAUAGGACAGGGAAUUGCUGAGCUGAUGAGGGAUGAAAGCUCACAGCAUAUGAGACAUUCCCUAUAGGAGUUCACAGAAAUUACCUGGGGAGGACAAACAGAUCAACAGCCAAGAGGAGUAACUGGAUUUCAGCACAACUUCAGUGCGGCAGCAGCAUUAACUCUGUGGCCUGAGACCUGUACACUGUGGGCUGAAACGUGUUUAAUGCCUGAAGUAACAAAUUAAAGGCACAAGUUAAAAGAUAA